AUAAUUCAAGUAAUGACGUGUCUUAAAAGCAACAGAGCCGAAGAGAGACGCAUGCAACUCGAUAUGUUUCGUAUUUGUUUAUUUUGUAACAUAUUGAGAAUUUACUGUUGAGGUUAAGUGCAGUGUGAUGCGGAGAGAUAUUUUACUGAUUGUGCUGACACUCGCUAAUGUUGGCAGUUUCCACGAAGAAAAACCAGAUACACUGCUUUGCCGUCAGUGUGGUGCUGAUGUAGGACAUUCGAAGCACAUAUUUAAUGUUUACAGUCCCUCUGGGACUGUUCUUCGUAACCAGACGUGGUUUGGUAAAAAGUUUGUUGAUGUUCACAUUUUCGAAAACCCAUUGGGUAUUAAGUUCCGCGUUGUGACGUUAGCUAAAGCUGAAUGUGUUGGAAUUAAUGAAUGGCAAAGAGAAUAUACUUGGUUUCCUGGUUAUGCAUGGAAAAAUUGUAUGUGCUCUCAUUAUGGUCACCAUUUAGGAUGGAUGUAUGAGCCCUUAGCAACUGCCAAUAACAGACAGUCAUUUCCUUCAAGUGAGGGUUUUUAUGCAUUGAUAGUGGACGAUAUCAUAUCAGAGAGCUUUCCACACCUUCCUCUGCCAUGUGGGCCAACCUCAGACAGCUCUCUGGAACCAAGAUCCAAUCCCCAAUUUCCGGCUUGACGCUGUCAUCGUGGACCCUAUUGCUAUCUCCAACACCUUGGGCCGCCAUUUUGCGGAAGUUUCGAGCUCUUCAGAAACGAGUGGAGGCGGCUCGGGCGAUACCCUUCUCUUCUCCAAAUUUUGCAGAUUCCCUUAUUUUACCGAAGUCAUCUUGGUGAAGAUUGUGGAGUAGUUCUAGAAAACAAUACGAAAAUAUCACAAAGUUCUCCAUAUCUACAGUGUUUUUCUUCUCUGGUUUUCAACAGUGUAAAGUUAGUUGCAUAGGUUGAAGAAACAGCAAGUGGAAGCAGUCAUG
RNA transcript from Schistocerca cancellata (South American locust), 953 nucleotides. RefSeq lists it as uncharacterized. NCBI's taxonomy places the organism in Eukaryota, Metazoa, Arthropoda, Insecta, Orthoptera, Acrididae. The transcript is spliced from 6 exons. The record is from RefSeq and is a predicted model, not a curated record.